AGUGAACGCUGGCGGUAGGCCUAACACAUGCAAGUCGAACGGCAGCACAGUAAGUGCCUGCUCUUACGGGUGGCGAGUGGCGGACGGGUGAGGAAUACAACGGAACCUAUAUUUUCGUGGGGGAUAACGUAGGGAAACUUACGCUAAUACCGCAUACGACCUACGGGUGAAAGCAGGGGAACUUCGGACCUUGCGCGCUUGUAUGAGCCGAUGUCGGAUUAGGUAGCUGGCGGGGGAAAGGGCCACCAAGGCGAAGAUCCGUAGGUGGUCGGGGAGGGUGGUGCGGCCACAUGGGAAGGGAGACACGGGCCAGACUCCUACGGGAGGAGGCAGUGGGGAAUUUUGGGCAAGGGGCGAAAGCCGGACGCAGCAACCCGGGGGGGGGAAGGAGGGCUUUGGGUUGGAAAGCCCUUUUUUUUGGGAAAAAAAAGAGGGGGAUUAAAACGUGCACAUUGUGACGGUACCUAAUAAGAAAGCCACGGCUAACUACGUG
This 493-nucleotide ribosomal RNA is filed under the name uncultured bacterium. RNAcentral describes it as "partial 16S ribosomal RNA". It matches the Rfam family "Bacterial small subunit ribosomal RNA", at positions 30 to 507 of the family's 1533-position model. The record is from RNAcentral.